GGAAUAGGACGGCGCUCCUAUUUUGUUGGUUUCUAGGAGAGCCGUAAUGAUUAAUAGGGACAGUUGGGGGCAUCCGUAUUCAGUUGUCAGAGGUGAAAUUCUUGGAUUUACUGAAGACGAACUACUGCGAAAGCAUUUGCCAAAGAUGUUUUCAUUAAUCAGUGAACGAAAGUUAGGGGAUCGAAGACGAUCAGAUACCGUCGUAGUCUUAACCAUAAACUAUGCCGACUAGGGAUCGGGCGAUGUUAUUGUAUUGACUCGCUCGGCACCUUUCGAGAAAUCAAAGUGUUUGGGUUCUGGGGGGAGUAUGGUCGCAAGGCUGAAACUUAAAGAAAUUGACGGAAGGGCACCACCAGGAGUGGAGCCUGCGGCUUAAUUUGACUCAACACGGGGAAACUCACCAGGUCCAGAUACACGUAGGAUUGACAGAUUGAGAGCUCUUUCUUGAUUGUGUAGUUGGUGGUGCAUGGCCGUUCUUAGUUGGUGGAGUGAUUUGUCUGCUUAAUUGCGAUAACGAACGAGACCUUCAUCGUUAACUAGCCCGGCUCGCCUUGGCGGGUCGCCGGCUUCUUAGCGAGACUUUUGGCUUAAGCCAAAGGAAGUUGGAGGCAAUAACAGGUCUGUGAUGCCCUUAGAUGUUCUGGGCUGCACGCGCGCUACACUGACAGAGGCAACGAGUUUCGUUCCUUGGCCGGAAGGCCUGGGUAAUCAGUACUCCC
This 719-nucleotide ribosomal RNA is filed under the name uncultured fungus. RNAcentral describes it as "SSU rRNA". It matches the Rfam family "Eukaryotic small subunit ribosomal RNA", at positions 819 to 1562 of the family's 1831-position model. The record is from RNAcentral. Lineage: Eukaryota; Fungi.